Molecule: ribosomal RNA, 803 nt
Filed under: Rhodocyclales bacterium TP690
Lineage: Bacteria; Pseudomonadati; Pseudomonadota; Betaproteobacteria; Rhodocyclales
Description: bacterial SSU rRNA
Rfam family: Bacterial small subunit ribosomal RNA
Source: RNAcentral
CUGAUCCAGCCAUGCCGCGUGAGUGAAGAAGGCCUUCGGGUUGUAAAGCUCUUUCGGACGGGAAGAAAUCGUUGAGGCUAAUACCCUUGACGGAUGACGGUACCGUAAUAAGAAGCACCGGCUAACUACGUGCCAGCAGCCGCGGUAAUACGUAGGGUGCGAGCGUUAAUCGGAAUUACUGGGCGUAAAGCGUGCGCAGGCGGUUUUGUAAGAUAGGCGUGAAAUCCCCGGGCUCAACCUGGGAACUGCGCUUAUGACUGCAAGGCUAGAGUAUGGCAGAGGGGGGUGGAAUUCCACGUGUAGCAGUGAAAUGCGUAGAGAUGUGGAGGAACACCGAUGGCGAAGGCAGCCCCCUGGGCCAAUACUGACGCUCAUGCACGAAAGCGUGGGUAGCAAACAGGAUUAGAUACCCUGGUAGUCCACGCCCUAAACGAUGUCAACUAGGUGUUGGGUGGGUAAAACCAUUUAGUACCGUAGCUAACGCGUGAAGUUGACCGCCUGGGGAGUACGGCCGCAAGGUUAAAACUCAAAGGAAUUGACGGGGACCCGCACAAGCGGUGGAUGAUGUGGAUUAAUUCGAUGCAACGCGAAAAACCUUACCUACCCUUGACAUGUCUGGAAGCUCUUAGAGAUUUGAGUGUGCCCGAAAGGGAGCCAGAACACAGGUGCUGCAUGGCUGUCGUCAGCUCGUGUCGUGAGAUGUUGGGUUAAGUCCCGCAACGAGCGCAACCCUUGUCGUUAAUUGCCAUCAUUUAGUUGGGCACUUUAACGAGACUGCCGGUGACAAACCGGAGGAAGGUGGG